GACAGAGGGUGCAAACGUUGCUCGGAAUCACUGGGCGUAAAGCGCGUGUAGGCGGUUGUCCAAGUUGGAUGUGAAAGCCUUGAGCUUAACUCAAGAAAUGCAUUCAGGACUGGAUGACUAGAGGACCGGAGAGGAUAGUGGAAUUCCCAGUGUAGUGGUGAAAUACGUAGAGAUUGGGAAGAACACCAGUGGCGAAGGCGGCUAUCUGGACGGUUUCUGACGCUAAGACGCGAAAGCGUGGGGAGCAAACAGG
RNAcentral lists this ribosomal RNA (253 nucleotides) under uncultured bacterium. RNAcentral's name for it is "partial 16S ribosomal RNA". It matches the Rfam family "Bacterial small subunit ribosomal RNA", at positions 524 to 776 of the family's 1533-position model. The record is from RNAcentral.